RNAcentral lists this ribosomal RNA (433 nucleotides) under uncultured bacterium. RNAcentral describes it as "partial 16S ribosomal RNA". It matches the Rfam family "Bacterial small subunit ribosomal RNA", at positions 29 to 507 of the family's 1533-position model. The record is from RNAcentral.
AACGAACGCUGGCGGCAUGCCUAACACAUGCAAGUCGAACGAGACCUUCGGGUCUAGGGGCGCACGGGUGCGUAACGCGUGGUAACCUGCCCUUAGGUUCGGAAUAACUCCCCGAAAGGGGUGCUAAUACCGGUUAAUGUCUUCGGACCAAAGAUUUAUCGCCUUUGGAUGGGCCCGCGUUGGAUUAGCUAGUUGGUAGGGUAAAAGCCUACCAAGGCGACGAUCCAUAGCUGGUCUGAGAGGAUGAUCAGCCACACUGGGACUGAGACACGGACCAGACUCGUACGGGAGGCAGCAGUGGGGAAUAUUGGACAAGGGGCGAAAGCCUGAUCCAGCAAUGCCGCGUGAGUGAUGAAGGCCUUAGGGUUGUAAAGCUGUUUUAGCCGGGAUGAUAAUGACGGUACCGGGAGAAUAAGCUCCGGCUAACUCCGUG